GUUGGUUUUUAAUGUCAUUUCCUCAUCGGGUAAAUGUGAGAAAGCUGCAAAUUUCAAGUCUAAAUCAAGCAAAGGAAGAACGGAACGGUAAAGCUGGCUUUAAUGAAAACAUUUGAUUUACAUUUAGUUGUGUCUACUAUCUUCUAAUUGUUAAGUCAAAUGAAUCUUGGAGGUUUUAGAUUUUUUAUUUUUUUUGCCUAAAUGUGUGUUAGUGAAAGAUAAACUUACACCAGUAAGUCGUCUUAGCUUUUUAUUCAUUUUUGUCAAACCUCCAGGAGUUGAAUAAACAAGAGUUUUUAGUUUAGCACUUAAAACAUUAAAAGAAGAAAAAGGCAGGAAUGUUUCCAGUGUGCUUUGUGAGAAGGAAGUGUGUUACAUUGAUCUGACUCUUGUGUGUUACUAAGGCAAAUGUUCAUUUUAAUGUAACCAUCUUUUUGCAAAGCUUGAGGAUAAAGUCAUGUCACGCUAAAUGUAUUUGAACAGAAUUCAUUCUGAUGUUGCAUAAAAUUAAUUGCCAGAUCCAAAUUUGUGCUUACUGAUGUUGAAGCAAUAAUUUAAAUGAUUCUAAUGUAAAAUAAAUAGUUAUUUUAACUUGUGAUGUGAGUAAAAAAAACACAGGAAUGUGCUCUCCUUUAACAAGGUGAGGGCAGUUUUUUUUUGUUUUUUUUGUUUAUUGUAAAAUAAAUACUUGGUUUAAAUUCUAGUAUUAAGUUAAAAGUCACAUUUCAAGAUUAAUGAGCUAUCGGAACUAAAAAAACAAACAAACAGUGUUUAGACAACUUGUCUCUUUAAUUUCUGAGUUAAACCCAAAACAAUCUUGUUGACUUUAAUUGCAUUUUCAAGGCAGCAGGCGAAUUUUCAUUCUCAAGUUAAGCCACCUUCAAAUGUUUUUAUUUAUUUAUUUUUUAUAUUUUUUGUAGGGCUUUAUUAACUCUAGUGUCCUUUAUUUGAGAGUAAUUAUACAGGAAAGUGGGUAGUGAGAGAGGAGGAAGACAUGCGGCAAAUGUCACUCGAAUCUGUGAUGUUCACUUUGAAGACUAAGGCCUCCAAAUUUCAACACCUUGCCCAAGAUCAUUUUGAAGCAGGAGGACAGAAUGAUGAACGCAGAGCAGAACCAGGAAUAAUCAACCCCUGUGUACGCUAGUGUUUAAACUGUAACAGGAUUUUGGCAAAUCUUUUUUUUUUUUUUUUUUUUUUUUGUCGUUUCUUCUUUUGCUUCAAAGAAAAAAAUAAUAGGAAAGUUUGUUUGAAAGCACACAAUGAUUCCAAUUUGCAGCACAUUAUAACAUGUAGUUUCUGCAUACUGCCUUUUCAUUUGGUAAACAUAGGCCGCUGAUUCUAGUAAUGUGUUAUCAAAGCUUUUGUUCAUGUGCUGCAGCAGAAACAAUUUUAGGGUUGCCUAAAGUUUUGCUCAACCUUUCCAAAAAAAAAAAAAAAAAGAAGUUUUAGCUUCUUCAAAGUGCACAAUAUGUAUAGAGAAGCUUCAUUUUGGAUGUGGGAUAUUUUAUGUUUUGAAAGGUAAGAAGGGAUAGAAGUCUUUUGCAAGAUAAAAUGUAAAAAAACACACAAAAAAACCUCUGUAACUAUUAAAACCUUCUUAAACCUAAAA
Long non-coding RNA from Gambusia affinis (western mosquitofish), 1609 nucleotides. RefSeq lists it as uncharacterized. The record is from RefSeq and is a predicted model, not a curated record. Lineage: Eukaryota; Metazoa; Chordata; Actinopteri; Cyprinodontiformes; Poeciliidae. The transcript is spliced from 2 exons.